UUCUGUAAUAAAAGCAAGAUAAAAGUUUUACAGAAGUUUUGGACAAAAAGGAAAAAUCACUACAAAAAUCACUACAGCACAUUUACAGCACAUUUACACAGUCAUUGACUUUGCACAGUUAAUUCCAGUGUUUAUCCAGUUAAGUGCACCAUCUUAAUCCAGUUAUAAUUACAGUAUGUCUGUGUAUUUCCAUAUUUUUUUGUACUAAGCUGCAUAAUGGAAUAAAAGGAAGAUUACUUUUAUUUUUAGCAAAAUAAAGUAUUUUACAUGGAAGGUUCAAUCCAGGGAAAUAACCAUCAUUUAAUUACUGACUCCUCUACUGAUGGACAGUUUUGCCUUUCUCCAAGGAAUGGAAAUCUGGCACUUCUCUUAAAGAACUCUGAUCCUUUGAGAAGUAAUUUUUAACCCAGGUGUUAUUAAACAGUCCUUUCACAGCAAAUGAACACAGCUCUCACCUGCUCCUUUGGCGUGCACGACUCUCU
This 482-nucleotide long non-coding RNA is filed under the name Bos taurus (domestic cattle). RNAcentral describes it as "long non-coding RNA NONBTAT007344". The record is from RNAcentral. Lineage: Eukaryota; Metazoa; Chordata; Mammalia; Artiodactyla; Bovidae.